GAUUCAUAUAAAAAAUUAUGCUUCAAUAUUUAGGGCCAAAAAGAAAUGUCAGAUGUACCAAUGUGUAAAUUUACUUUAUUAAGUUUAUACUCAGCUGAUUUAUACUUUCACUGACUAAAUAAUUGUGUUUUAAAAAUCCACUUUUUGUUUGGUUUAGUUGUUCCAAAUUUCUUGAAGAAGUCUAUUUUUUUAGCGCCUAAAAGGCCAAGUGAGCUUUUCUCAUUACUAGGUGUCCUAUUCCGUCGUCUGUUAAUUUUUACAAAAUUCUUCUCUGAAACUACUGUGCCAAAUUUAACCAAACUUGGCCACAAUCAUCAUUGGGAUAUCUAGUAUAAAAAAUGUGUCUGAUGACCCCGCCAGACACCAAGAUGGCCGACAUGGCUAAAAAUAGAACAAAGGGGUAAAAUGCAAGUUUUGCCUAUUUUGAAAACCGCUAUAUAUAGAGAGAAUCUGACAAGGGUAAAUUAUAAUAGAUAUACAGAAACUUUAAAUAGCAAAAAUGAUCAAUAAGACAAGAUGUACAAAAAAGUCAACAUGGCCGAAAUUUUCAUUCGACUCUUCAUUAGAGUUAUUGCCCUAUAAUGACGAUUUUUACGAUUUUUAUACGACCGCAAAAAAAUUUUUGUGGUCGUAUAUUGGUAUGACGUUGGCGUCGUCGUCGUCCGAAGACACAUUAGUUUUCGCGCUCUAACUUUAGUUUAAGUGAAUGGAUCUCAAUGAAAUUUUACCAUAAGGUUCAAUACCACAAAAGGAAGGUGGGGAUUGAUUUUGGGGGUUAUGGUACCAACAGUUAAGGAAAAAGGGGCCAAAAAUAAGCAUUUUUGUAACUUCCAGACAUAACUUGUGUGUUAGUGUAUGGAUCUCUCUGACAUUGUACCACAAGGUUCCAUAUCACAAAGGGAAUGCUGGGAUUGAUUUUGGGGGUAAUUGCCUCCAAAUUUUAGGAAUUAGGGGCCAAAAAGGGGCAAAAAACAAGCAUUUUUCUAGUUUCAUGACAAUAACUUGUGUGUAAGUGUAUGGAUCUUUAUGAAAUUGUACUACAAGGUUCCAUAUCACAAAGGGAAAGCUGGAAUUGAGUUUGGGGGUAAUUACCCAAAAAGUUUAGGAAUAAGGGGCCAAAAAGGGGCCAAAAUAAGCAUUUUUCUAGUUUCCAGACAAUAACUUGUGUUCAAGUAUAUGGAUCUCUCUGAAAUUGUACUGCAAGGUACCAUACCACAAAGGGACGGCUGGGAUUGAUUUUUGGGGUUAUUCCCUCAAAAUUUUAGUAAUUAGGGGCCAUAAAAGGGCAAAAAAACAAGCAUUUUUCUAGUUUCAGGACAAUAACUUGUGUGUAAGUGUAUGGAUCUUUAUGAAAUUGUACUGCAAGGUUCCAUAUCAUAAAGGGAAAGCUGGGUUUGAGUUUGGGGGUACCGGUAAUUGCCCUAAACAUUUUUUCUAGGAAUUUGGGGCCAAAAAGGGGCCAAAAAACAAGCAUUUUUCUAGUUUCCAGACAAUAACUUGUGUUCAAGUGUAUGGAUCUCUCUGAAAUUGUACUGCAAGGUACCAUACCACAAGGGGAAAGCUGGGAUUGAGUUUGGCGGUGAUGAAUCAUAAGGGGGUUCAAAAAUUUGGGGCGGGGGGAUUUUUUUUUCCUUUAUUUUCUUUAAAAUUUUCCAUUUUAAAUUGGUUAUUUCUGAUUUAUAUAUAAAAGCAAAUAAUAAUGAUAUGGUUUGAAUAGGUAAAUUAAAAAUUUUUAAGUUCUUAGACCACUUUCAUUCUGUGUCAGAAACCUAUGCUGUGUCAAAUAUUUAAUUACAAUCCAAAUUCAGUGCUGUAUCAAGCUUGAAUGUUGUGUCUAACUUGCCCCAACUGUUCAGGGUUUGACCUCUGCGGUCGUAUCAAGCUGCGCCCCAGCGGAGCAUUUUAUUUGCGUUUUUGCCUAAUAUCUUAAAAACUAUAUUAGAUACACAGAAACUUUAAAAAGCAAAAAUGACCAGAAAGACAAGAUCUAAAAAUAAGUCAAAUGUCUGAAAUUGUUAGUUGACUUUUUAUUGAAGUUAUUGCCCUUUAAUGAAGAUUUUUCCCUUUUUUGCCUUAUAUCUUGAAAACUGUAAUCGAUAUAUAGAAACUUUAAACAGCACAAAUGAUCAGCAAGACAAGAUCCACAAAUGAGCCAUAAUGGCCGAAAACUAAAGUCAACUCGUUAUUGGAGUUAUCGCCCUCUAAUGUAAUUAGAUUUGUGGAUUUUUUUGCAUUUUUAACCAGAUUUCGAAGGAAAAAUCGGUUAUUGAUUUGGGGAUGUACGGCAGUCGGGCGGGAAGCUGCCAAACAGUGUCCGUUCAUUAACAUGAAAACGCUUUGACGAAAUCUUUUCAAAUUUAGAUAUGUUGUUUCCUGUGACUAAAUGAAGGUCAAGUUCAACAGAAUAGCUGUUCUCGUUGUUGAGUUGUAGACCUUUCAGUAGCAAAAGUGAUACUUAUUAUUUGAUUUAUUUAUUUUGAGUUAUUUCCCUUUGAACAGAAAUGGUGUAAUUAAUAAGUAUAUGGACAGAUAGUCUAUCAAUGAUUGUAUCUGUUUGAUUCAUGCAAUAAUUUCCACCUUUUAUCAAGAUAACAAACAUGUGGUAAUUAUCAACUAACAAAAUUAUAAUUGGAAUGACAGUUUUAUUUGAAAAUUUAAUGUUUCCUAAGUGUUGUUGAUGAUAAACUCUGUAGGACGGUAUAAAUAUAGUUUAAAAUUUACUGCUCAUUAUUAUAAAUUUUGAAAUUAAUUACAGAUAAGUUUUAUCAUGUUUAUAGAUUAUUAUUAAUUAUUAUUAUAGUAUUAAUGAUGAAUGAUAUUUUGGAAAUUUGUUUUUUCUUUUUUUAUUUGGUAAAUGUUUUGAAGAAUUUUGUGGUAGGCUUGUUUGUUAUUCUGUAUGAACUAAUUUUCUGAAUGCUAUAUAUAUA
Long non-coding RNA from Mytilus californianus (California mussel), 2927 nucleotides. RefSeq lists it as uncharacterized. The record is from RefSeq and is a predicted model, not a curated record. Lineage: Eukaryota; Metazoa; Mollusca; Bivalvia; Mytilida; Mytilidae. The transcript is spliced from 2 exons.